RNAcentral lists this ribosomal RNA (919 nucleotides) under Escherichia coli. Its description in RNAcentral is "partial 23S ribosomal RNA". It matches the Rfam family "Bacterial large subunit ribosomal RNA", at positions 347 to 1268 of the family's 2925-position model. Lineage: Bacteria; Pseudomonadati; Pseudomonadota; Gammaproteobacteria; Enterobacterales; Enterobacteriaceae. The record is from RNAcentral.
AAGGCGCGCGAUACAGGGUGACAGCCCCGUACACAAAAAUGCACAUAUUGUGAGCUCGAUGAGUAGGGCGGGACACGUGGUAUCCUGUCUGAAUAUGGGGGGACCAUCCUCCAAGGCUAAAUACUCCUGACUGACCGAUAGUGAACCAGUACCGUGAGGGAAAGGCGAAAAGAACCCCGGCGAGGGGAGUGAAAAAGAACCUGAAACCGUGUACGUACAAGCAGUGGGAGCACGCUUAGGCGUGUGACUGCGUACCUUUUGUAUAAUGGGUCAGCGACUUAUAUUCUGUAGCAAGGUUAACCGAAUAGGGGAGCCGAAGGGAAACCGAGUCUUAACUGGGCGUUAAGUUGCAGGGUAUAGACCCGAAACCCGGUGAUCUAGCCAUGGGCAGGUUGAAGGUUGGGUAACACUAACUGGAGGACCGAACCGACUAAUGUUGAAAAAUUAGCGGAUGACUUGUGGCUGGGGGUGAAAGGCCAAUCAAACCGGGAGAUAGCUGGUUCUCCCCGAAAGCUAUUUAGGUAGCGCCUCGUGAAUUCAUCUCCGGGGGUAGAGCACUGUUUCGGCAAGGGGGUCAUCCCGACUUACCAACCCGAUGCAAACUGCGAAUACCGGAGAAUGUUAUCACGGGAGACACACGGCGGGUGCUAACGUCCGUCGUGAAGAGGGAAACAACCCAGACCGCCAGCUAAGGUCCCAAAGUCAUGGUUAAGUGGGAAACGAUGUGGGAAGGCCCAGACAGCCAGGAUGUUGGCUUAGAAGCAGCCAUCAUUUAAAGAAAGCGUAAUAGCUCACUGGUCGAGUCGGCCUGCGCGGAAGAUGUAACGGGGCUAAACCAUGCACCGAAGCUGCGGCAGCGACGCUUAUGCGUUGUUGGGUAGGGGAGCGUUCUGUAAGCCUGCGAAGGUGUGCUGUGAGG